This 2117-nucleotide long non-coding RNA is filed under the name Solanum tuberosum (potato). Its description in RNAcentral is "long non-coding RNA (STUB_LNC002257)". Lineage: Eukaryota; Viridiplantae; Streptophyta; Magnoliopsida; Solanales; Solanaceae. The record is from RNAcentral.
GCCGUACCAAUUAUUGCUUAAAUAUUUCUAUCUGCAGACUGCAAAUUAAAUGCUCUUUUCCCUGUUUUUGGGACUGCAAUAUUGCGAAUUCUUCAAAUCACCUUCAACAAAGGUUUCCUCUAACUUACCUACUCUUCAAAAAAAAUUCCCCUGCCUUUUACAAUUUUACAACUUCAAGUUUUUUUCUAGAUUUUGAGCAUAUUUUUAAGAAAUACAUGUUUCUGUCUAUUUGCUAUUCGAGAAUCAACAUGUAGCUGGUAUCUACUUUUAUUUAUGUUCUUAACAUGAAAGAAUUCGGUGCUGUUUUGUGAUCCAGACUUGAAAGCAACUGUUUUCCUUUUUUUUGGCAUAAUACAUAAGUAUGCCAUUUAUGGCUUCAGCAACAUUUAUGCCCUCCAUUCAUGAUCAAGUAUACACUUGCGUGUCGUUUGGUGUGAGAGAUAAAAAUAAAUAGUGAUGGGAUAAAAUUUUCUUGUCAUGUUUGGGAUAACUUGUUCCCAACCAAACGACCCCUUUAAACUUGUAUAAAAUUGAACAAGUAGAUACACGUAUUCUAUGUGGCAUAAUACACGUAGAAUGCCAUGUAGUUUGUUCAAUUUUAUACAAAUUUAAAUUAUUACUUGUGCAUAUCCAAAGUUAAAUGACAUAAAUAUCAGUUGAAGCUAAGUUAAAAGGACAUAUUUAUGGAUAAUGUUUUUCUUUUUUUGGAAGUUUUCUGCCUUGGGGUUCUCAGUUUAUGGAUAUUUAUGAGGACUGAAGCUACCUAGACGACCCAGUAUCAUUGUUAAUAGUGGAACUACCUGUUCGAAUAACAGCUCCAUAGUACUCCUUUACUCGCCUUUAAUUUUAUUGGUCUCUGAAGUUGUUGUGUUUUACCUUAGGUAUUUGUAUUGUACUGUAUUAUUUUAAUGAAUAUAAGUAAAUGAUAAAGUAGAAUUAUAAGAUAACAUGAGAUGAAAAUAUGUUCACAUCAAAUUGAUCGUUACAUAAAAUGAGACUUUUCGUUGUAACGUUAUGAUAAAUUUAAAUAAUCCGAUAUAAUAAAAUUUAAGUAACAAUUAAAAAAAAAAUUAUAAUUAAACUAGCCAUACAAUACUCAAUACAUAUUCCAAACAAGGUGUUGCGGGAUCCACUUGACACUCCCUUUAGCCUGCUUUUGGUGUUGGAAUAGUGGCAUUAUCUUAAAACCUUCAACAAGGUUUCCUCUAACUUACCUACUCUUCAAAAUUUCUUCUCUGAGUUAUAGAAUUUAUAAGCAAUUCACCUACUAUAUGAUAACUUUGUUAUUUCUAGAUUCUGAGCGCAUGUACUGAAGCUCCCAAGAAGACCCAGUAUUGUUGUUAAUAGUGGAACCAUAUGUUUGAAUAGCAGCUCCAUAGUACUCCUUUUACUUGGUUUUAAGCUGAUUGGUCUAUGAAGUUCUUGUGUUUUACCUUAUUUUGUGUUCUUUAGUAAAUGUUCAAAAACAACUACUAUUAUGUCUCAAUUCAAAACUAUUUGGGGUCGACUAUAUAAAUCAUCACUGUCAAUUUUAACCACUAAGAGUUCUCUUACUAUUCCUAUUGAUAUACACAUCUCCAAACAUAUUGAAGAGCCUUAGUGGUUAAAAUUGACAUAUUGAUAGCAACUUGCUGCAUUUGUGCUUUAGCAACAGGACAUAGUAUGCUUUUUCUGGAUGAGUUACUGGAGAAAUGAUUGUUGAAGCAUUGCUAUUUGUUUUCCAAUAUUGCCCCUGUCCAACUGUCCAAUAUUACGUGUGACUUCUCGUAGCUAAAAGACAGACAUCAGUUUUAUAUCUUAUGUUCCUUUAAGGCUUAAUUCUUGAAUCUCUGAAACUCUUAGCCUGAUGUACUGUGUAUUUGCUUAGACUAAUAUUGACCAUGUCAAACUAUCACCAGAAUAUGUUUUAUACCUCUCUCAUGAAGUAUUGUAUAUAUUCUAAACUUCUAGUUUCAUUCUUAACGGUCUCUUACUUUUUUCUCCAGGUAGCAACAUACUAUGACUGGAAGCAUGGAAGAUGGUUUGUUAGAUGAGAGUAGUCUCAGAAAAUCCAGUCGGCAAUUCCAUGUUACAACAAAUCUUGUUUUGAGCACCUCAGUUGCUGCCUGUGGUUACUU